AUCAAACUCCACCUGAUUGUAUUUGUCAUAUCGUUGAGUCUUCCUCAGAUCCCAUUUAAUUCCUGAACCCCUCAACAUCACUCCACUGAGAGAAGGCCAGAGAGAGACAGAGACACACAACAGUGUAAAGCCAGAAACUCAGGUUACUGUGGCUGUAAAAAACUCAGUACUCAAGGGGGAGAUUCAAUGGCAUUUCCUUCAAAAGCCUUUGCCAUUAAGCUGGAUGAGUUAUUAUUCAGAUCGUAUUUCAUCUGUACCGACUUCAAGAGCCUUUUCAUCCGCUGACCAGUCCUCGAGGU
Long non-coding RNA from Myxocyprinus asiaticus (Chinese sucker), 299 nucleotides. RefSeq lists it as uncharacterized. The record is from RefSeq and is a predicted model, not a curated record. The transcript is spliced from 3 exons. Lineage: Eukaryota; Metazoa; Chordata; Actinopteri; Cypriniformes; Catostomidae.